AGAGUUUGAUCGUGGCUCAGAUUGAACGCUGGCGGCAGGCUUAACACAUGCAAGUCGAGCGGAGAUGAGGUGCUUGCACCUUAUCUUAGCGGCGGACGGGUGAGUAAUGCUUAGGAAUCUGCCUAUUAGUGGGGGACAACAUUCCGAAAGGAAUGCUAAUACCGCAUACGUCCUACGGGAGAAAGCAGGGGAUCUUCGGACCUUGCGCUAAUAGAUGAGCCUAAGUCGGAUUAGCUAGUUGGUGGGGUAAAGGCCUACCAAGGCGACGAUCUGUAGCGGGUCUGAGAGGAUGAUCCGCCACACUGGGACUGAGACACGGCCCAGACUCCUACGGGAGGCAGCAGUGGGGAAUAUUGGACAAUGGGGGGAACCCUGAUCCAGCCAUGCCGCGUGUGUGAAGAAGGCCUUAUGGUUGUAAAGCACUUUAAGCGAGGAGGAGGCUACUGAGACUAAUACUCUUGGAUAGUGGACGUACUCGCAGAAUAAGCACCGGCUAACUCUGUGCCAGCAGCCGCGGUAAUACAGAGGGUGCGAGCGUUAAUCGGAUUUACUGGGCGUAAAGCGUGCGUAGGCGGCUUUUUAAGUCGGAUGUGAAAUCCCCGAGCUUAACUUGGGAAUUGCAUUCGAUACUGGGAAGCUAGAGUAUGGGAGAGGAUGGUAGAAUUCCAGGUGUAGCGGUGAAAUGCGUAGAGAUCUGGAGGAAUACCGAUGGCGAAGGCAGCCAUCUGGCCUAAUACUGACGCUGAGGUACGAAAGCAUGGGGAGCAAACAGGAUUAGAUACCCUGGUAGUCCAUGCCGUAAACGAUGUCUACUAGCCGUUGGGGCCUUUGAGGCUUUAGUGGCGCAGCUAACGCGAUAAUAGACCGCCUGGGA
This 874-nucleotide ribosomal RNA is filed under the name uncultured organism. RNAcentral describes it as "bacterial SSU rRNA". It matches the Rfam family "Bacterial small subunit ribosomal RNA", at positions 9 to 873 of the family's 1533-position model. The record is from RNAcentral.